Rhea pennata is the source of this 4319-nucleotide long non-coding RNA. RefSeq lists it as uncharacterized. The record is from RefSeq and is a predicted model, not a curated record. The transcript is spliced from 2 exons. Lineage: Eukaryota; Metazoa; Chordata; Aves; Rheiformes; Rheidae.
CCACAGCGCGCGCGCGCGCGCGCGGGGCCUCCGUGAGGAGCGGCGGCAGCUCCGGGCGGCCGCGCCGCCGCCUAGGAAGGCAUUGUCUCAUUAUCUGGGUUGUGGAUUAACAAACUAAGAGCUCGACUGUGUGUGUGUUUUAAACAAUAAAGUAACCAAAAUGGGAAGUACAACUAGUAUGAAGACUUCAUCAGUGUUCUCAUAGGUAAAAACAAAGCAGAGCUCAAAAAGAAAACAAAAACCCCCCAAAAAGAUGAAAUAGAAAACUGGAUAGCUGGAAGAAGAAAAAUACUGAUUCAACAACUGUGACCUACUGAUGAUUUAAGGUAAUAGAAGUAGGAACUGUGAAAUGUAUAAAUUCCGAUGGCAGACAAGAAUUGUUUCAGGUACUACUGUGCUAUAAUGGUUUAGUGUAAUAGUUCAGCUUUGAUAAAAAUACCUCUUACCUAUCUCCUCAAUGUCACAUAAAAAAGAAUCUCAACAAAAAGAUUUCCUGGGCAUUUGGAUGUAUAAUCCGAAUAUAUAAAAUAGGUAAAGUAUAACUCUUUUCAAAAAGCACAUAAUGUAAAAACUCAGUUGAUUCAUUUUGGCUAGCUCCUAAACUUGACAGCUUUUUUUGUUUAAUAUGAGUAGGAUAACAGUUGUCCUUUGCCUUGGCAUCAAAUGCCCUUUGAACUAGGAAAGUCAGAGCAUAUCUCACUGGAGUAAUUUAAUUUUCAUCAAUUUCUGUGGUGUUAAUUCUUUGCCAGAACUCUAAUUCAGGCACAUAGCUGUGUUUGUUCCUGUUUGUGGACACAGAAAGAAGUAUCUCCCUGCCAGCCUCUGGGUACCUUCUUGUCUAGUGAAGUCUUGUUACUGAUUUUCUUGUUGCUUGUUUUCUUGUUGCUGUUGAAGAGCUAAUUUUUAGUGAUGUAGUAGUAAGCACUUCUGAAAAUUAGCUUCUGAAACUUGUAUACAAAAAUCACUCAUUUUUUUCUGCUGAGUAGCCUUUGAAAUGUGCAUGUAUAGUCUGUAUACUGAUAAUUUUGUUUUUGAAUAAGCCUCCUGACUAUUGAAGUGUCGUUCACAGUAUAUUUCCAAACAUUUCCAUCCAUACUCCUUUUAUAUUGUGUGGGGUGUGUGUAUUGUAUUAACAGUGUUAUAUGAAUGAUCUGUAUCCACCAGAUAAAUUAUUCUUAAAAGAAUUUGGUGUGUUUUGUGUGAGGUUUUUUAAUUGCUUUAUUUCUGCACUGUGUUUUUAAGGUUUGCUGUAUCUUAAUCCCAGGAUCACAUAACUGUGGAUGCAAAUUAAUAAUAAUAAUUUUAUGUUUUAUGUGAGGUUUUGAAUAUAAGAAAAGAAAGCUGUUGGCUUUGCAGCAGUAUACUUUUAUGUUAGGGCACAAUUUGUGUCAAUCAGGGUCUGCUCGCUUACACAGUUUUGUGCACAGGCAUCGCUCUUCAAAUGGCCUAUAUUACGCUAUCUAUGCAAAGCUGUGUCUGAAGUUGUGAAGAUGGACUAUUAUUCUUUCUUAGACCCUCAUUAUAGAAGCUCAGACUCCUUAUCGAUAUAUUUAUGGAUGCAUGGAAAUCUCCAUGCAAGACUUAAAUUGAGAGAAUACAAGCCAUUCUUAUUUACUGAUCCUUUGUUAAUGAUUGUAUUCUUAGGAAAAUCAAGGACAAUGAUUGUCAGAUAAGGAAAUGCCUGGUUUCACUGGCCAUUAAGAUCAUGAUCUUCAAUUGUAUUUAUGCUGUUGUCUGUGGAGCUGCCUUGUGGUCCAGUCUCUGUAAAACAAUAGAAUACAUCCAGGUGAUAUAUUUGCCUGCUUCUCCAAGAUGCGUGUUUCUUUCACAUCUAGCCUUGUAAGCCUUGUAAAAGUAUUUCAGUCAAAGCUGGGAGCAAGUUGUCUAGUGAUGAGUUGACUUGAAUUUAAAAGCAAUAUGUAGUACAUUCAUGGAUUAAAAGUGCAACUUCGGGGAACACAUGCAAGCUCACCAAAAAUAUCAUGCAAAACAGUUCCUAGAGUGGCUGAACUCUACUAAGCGCUAAAUUGAGGCGUCUUCUCCCAAAUCCGGAAGUACACUAGACCACUACUGGUGGUUUGUAAUGUGUUUACGUGGACUAGAUCAGGACAUGAGUUACAGCAGUGUAGCUGUAACUUGAAUCAUUUGCCUUAUUCUCAUACUUUCUAUUUUAAAUUGCCUCUGUUUUCUUAGCAAAUUUAUACAUUCUCAACCAACACUGGUAUUAACAAAGAGAAUGGAGGUAUACUGCUUUCUCCAUAAAUGACAGAGGGUAUGGCUUAAACUCAUUCUUUAACAGGCAACAGAAUGGCACAGUGCAUUUUUUCAUUUUCCAAGGUUAUAUAAUCAGAUUUUUGCCUCAGUGUUGCAGAGCGUUUAACAGAUGCUCAGCUGUAUUUGGAUGUAUUAAGCAUUGCUGAAUGUAGGUACUUGCAGUGCUGACGGUCUUAAGACUUACGAGUUAAUACAGUCAAAAUAAAUAUUUAUUUUAUAUGUAUUACAAAAGGAGAAAAGAGCUCUUCUGUUAACUGGCAACCCAAAGCUAUGUUCGGUGAAAUUGAAUUGAAAUAUGGUUAUGGAUUUAAAUGCAAACAGUGGUGAGCUUACAGUGACAAUCCCAGUAUCUGACAAGGCUGUGUAGAAAGGCUAUUCUGGCCACCUGCCAAUGCCCAAAAGUUGCUGAGGCUUGUGUUCUUAUCUUAGCUAGGAGAAAAAUAGGAUGGGAAAGAGCUUGAGGAGGAAAAGAGAGUUUCAGAGUAGUCUAAGAGUAAUGGAAUGAAAUUAAAAUGAAGAAGGAAAAUGUAUCAAGCCUAUGAAUAAUCUCUUAAGAGCAGUGGAAACUCCAUUGGUUAAGCCACUUAACUAAGGAACAAAAGAAAAAUGACUGAGAAACAAUGUAAUUUCUGUUGGAGUCUGUGCUGACUUACAUGCUGGAGUACUGGAAUGUCUGCUUGCAUGUAACAGCACCCUGAAACCCUACUCAAAAAAGCAUAGAUAAGAAACUGCAAUGUCUACUUUUUGACUGCUAACUGCAAUGACCAUCUUUCCUACUUUAAUAGCAUUACAGAAGAUGCCAUAUCAAUAUCUACUGUUAGGCAAAACACCAAAGAUUUAAAUUCCUGAAAAGUUUUAAAUUAUCUACAAGGUUGCAUUAACCUUAAUAUAAAAAUGCGAUAGGUUUCUAGCCUCUCUUCUCAGUUCUAGCAUCUUGAUAAAAAUAUUUUUUUUCUAUUUUUUGCCUGUGAAAUUACCAGCAUAAGACUCAUGGAAGUUGAAAUUCACUGCUUAUGGCAGGAAAAAAAAAAAAAAAAAAAAAAAAAAAAAAAAAGACCAGCUACAUGAGCUGUGCAUGUUUCUCAAUGUAGUACCAGGCUGAUGUGCCUCCUUCUGCCUUCAAUAAACUGCUCUGAAGAAAGAGGAUAUUUCAGAGUCUAUGUUAAUCCAGUUCUUAGCUUGGGUCAUACAGGAUCAGUCAGCAGCUUGCCACGACUAGAAUGGAGAUUGUCGCUGCGUUAGCUGAGAUGCAGUUAAUAAUCCAGUAGGAUCUACAGUGAGGCUGCUGGGCUGAUUUCAUAUGAGCCCCCAUAGAGCUGGGAAGUACAACUCUGCCAGUUUUGACCUAGGCUGCAUACAAAUCACACCCUCAGAGUGAAAAUCACCAUUUUCCCCUUCAACUGUGCCAUCCUCCUGCUCAUACUUCAAAAUUACAGUUCAUUGUCUUCCUACCACUACCUGACGUGAUAGAGAUAGUUAAACAUAGUUAUAUUCUGUAAGCUUUCAGAAAGCUUAAGUGUAAUUGAUUAGGCCAAUGCUUGUAAUUGCUGCAAAUCGUAUUCUGUAUGUUGAGGGGGGAAUCUGAGGAUUUACAAUCCAAGUGAACAUGAAACAAACUGGCAGUGCUUGAUGGUCAGUACUUUUCUUUCUCUUACAGUUAAGAGAAAAAUUUUGAUUAAAUGCAUAUAGUUGACCAAGUUCUUAAGGAGACUAUCAGGAUGCUGUUAUAGUUAAUAAUACCUAGCUGUCCUGUGUCACUGUCCCUCAUUAGUUUUCGAAAUGCUUCAUAGAAGUGGGAAAGGGAGGCACAAAAAAAGUGAAACAACUUGCAUAGGGUUGAUAGGAAUAUGGCAGGUCCUGAGGAGUAUUCUGCUGACUGUAAUAGGAAAGAUAAUGACAAGCAGCUGUUAACGUGUUCAAAGCUAACGUGCCCAGUCAAAUAUGACCAAGUUGUAAAAUGUAAUGAUUUACUGCCUGUAGGUGUUUGAAUUGUGUGAGAUCUUAGGUUUCCUGAAGCGCAAAAUAAAAUGGAUUGUUAGAAACUA